RNAcentral lists this ribosomal RNA (473 nucleotides) under uncultured archaeon. Its description in RNAcentral is "bacterial SSU rRNA". It matches the Rfam family "Archaeal small subunit ribosomal RNA", at positions 1 to 471 of the family's 1478-position model. The record is from RNAcentral.
UUCCGGUUGAUCCUGCCGGAGGCUACCGCUAUCGGAGUCCGAUUUAGCCAUGCUAGUCGACCGAGCUUCGCGCUCGGGGCGGAUAGCUGAGUAACACGUGGCUAACCUACCCUGUGGAUCGGGAUAACCUCGCUAACGUGAGGCUAAGCCCGAAUAGCAGAGUUCCUCUGGAACGAGAACUCUGUGAAAUGUUACGGCGCCACAGGAUGGGGCCGCGGCUGAUUAGGUCGUUGGUGAGGUAACGGCUCACCAAGCCUAUAAUCAGUAGCAGCCGUGAGAGCGGGAGCUGUCAGUCGUGUUCUGAGACAAGAACACGGGCCCUACGGGGCGCAGCAGGCACGAAACCUUUACAAUGCACGCAAGUGCGAUAAGGGGACUCCGAGUGCAGUCUUCCCACAAGGAAGGCCGCUUUUCUGUACUGUAAGGAGGUACAGGAACAAGGGGUGGGCAACACUGCUGCCAGCCGCCGCGGU